UACGGAGGGUGCGAGCGUUAAUCGGAAUUACUGGGCGUAAAGCGUGCGUAGGCGGCCCGUUAAGUCAGAUGUGAAAGCCCCGGGCUCAACCUGGGAACGGCAUUUGGAACUGGCGGGCUAGAGUUGGGUAGAGGUAAGUGGAAUUUCAGGUGUAGCGGUGAAAUGCGUAGAUAUCUGAAGGAACACCAGUGGCGAAGGCGGCUUACUGGACCCGAACUGACGCUGAGGCACGAAAGCGUGGGUAGCAAACAGG
Molecule: ribosomal RNA, 253 nt
Filed under: uncultured bacterium
Lineage: Bacteria
Description: partial 16S ribosomal RNA
Rfam family: Bacterial small subunit ribosomal RNA
Source: RNAcentral